This 216-nucleotide ribosomal RNA is filed under the name Glomeromycotina sp. RNAcentral's name for it is "partial small subunit ribosomal RNA". The stretch from base 40 to 216 matches the Rfam family "Eukaryotic small subunit ribosomal RNA", at positions 686 to 864 of the family's 1831-position model. Lineage: Eukaryota; Fungi; Glomeromycota. The record is from RNAcentral.
GGGUCAGGAGGUUGGUCGUGCCACCGGUACGUACUGGUCUCACUGAUUCCUCCUUCCUGAAGAACCGUAAUGCCAUUAAUUUGGUGUUGCGGGGAAACAGGACUGUUACUUUGAAAAAAUUAGAGUGUUUAAAGCAAGCUAACGCUUGAAUACGUUAGCAUGGAAUAAUGAAAUAGGACGAUCGAUCCUAUUUUGUUGGUUUCUAGGAUUGACGUA